RNAcentral lists this ribosomal RNA (1362 nucleotides) under Triticum aestivum (bread wheat). Its description in RNAcentral is "partial small subunit ribosomal RNA". Lineage: Eukaryota; Viridiplantae; Streptophyta; Magnoliopsida; Poales; Poaceae. The record is from RNAcentral.
AUGAUGCUGGAGUUUGUCAUCCGCAAGUCCAUGUCUGACAACUUUCUUACCUUGUGUAAUCAGCCGUCUGCUCCACCCCUACCCAGCAAAAUCCGCCGGCUGACUCUGCAUCAUGCAACGCCCAGAGAAGUGAAUGAUCUAUCUCUUGUCCGGUCAUUGACUGUCUCCGGCGAGACGCACCCAUCAAUCCUAGACUUUUCCAAGUAUGAACUGAUGCGAGUUUUGGAUCUGGAAGAGUAUGAUCAUCAGUUGUUGGAUAGCCAUCUCAAGUUGGUAUGCAGCAACCUGUUGCUGCUGAGGUACCUAAGCCUCGGAGCCGCUGUUACGGCGCUGCCAAGAAAUAUCAAGAAGCUUCAGUUCUUGGAGACACUGGAUGUAAGAAGGACGAAUAUAGAGAUUCUGCCAACACAAGUCAUGGAGUUGCCAUUUUUACUUCAUCUGUUCGGGAAGUUCAAGCUGAAACAAGAUGUAGGAGCACACAGAAUGAGUAAGCUACAGGCGUGGUUGUCAGCCAACAGCAAAUUGGAAACAGUAGCAGGAUUUGUUGUGGACAGCAACAAGAGCCAAGGAUUUGCACAACUCAUGGAUCAUAUGAAGCAUUUGAUAAAGGUGAAAAUAUGGUAUGAUUCUUGCGCCGAUGCCAGCAGCACAAGUACUCUCUCGAAGGCCAUCAAGGGGUUCAUCGAGCGAAGCACCAAUUUCAUGACUUCACAUGCACUCUCACUCAAUCUCAGUGGUGAACGUUCUCAAGACUUGCUGAAUUUCUCCCUUGGAACUGGCAAAUCCUACUAUCUUUGCUCACUCAAGCUACAAGGGGGCAACAUAUUCAGCCUCCCCCCCUUUGUUACCAUGCUGGCUGGUCUCAAUAAGUUGUGCCUUUCAGUCACUCAUCAGCUGAGUCGUGACAUUAUUGCUGCCCUGAGUGAAAUGCGCAGCCUGAAGCAGCUGAAGCUGACUGCAACUCAAUUGGACAAGCACAUCAUUGGACAAGGUGCAUUCAGAAUCCUGGAAGACCUAUGGAUCACGGUGGAAGUGAUGACUGCGCUGGACAUCGAAGACGGAGCUCUGCCGUGCCUCAAAUCGCUCCGUCUGCUAUGUAAAAAUCUAGAUGGCUUUUCCGGCACAUCGGCGAUCAAAUACUUUAAGCGCCUCAAGGAGAUUGCUCUUCAUCGUGAAGUGGGUGGUGACACAAAACAGAAGUGGAAAGAAGCAGCAAGGAAACACCCAAGAUGUCCCAAGAUCUUGCAGUACAGGCUGCGACUUGCUAAUGGCAAAGCAUUCUCGUAUGCUGCUUAUUGGUUGAUGGCCAUUCAUCAACAUGAUCAAUUGAGUUGUGAAGCUUACCUGGUGAAGACCCCUUGA